RNAcentral lists this non-coding RNA (30 nucleotides) under Rattus norvegicus (Norway rat). Lineage: Eukaryota; Metazoa; Chordata; Mammalia; Rodentia; Muridae. The record is from RNAcentral.
UGUGAAUGCACUUGUGCAUGCAAUGUGUCU